UACCAACACUGAUAUCACUUAAUCUCUCCAACCUUCUGAUCGAACGAGAGCGGCGGUAGGCUCUUCCGGAUCGAUAUUUAUUUAAUUUUUAUAAAAAAAAUUAAAGCUACCUAUCAAAUUAUAGGUGGUCGGAUAAGGACUGUGUCAGUUGGACUCCGAGUUCAUUGCGAGCUACAUGUAAUAUACAGUUGGAAGUAGAUGCUUUCCAAAAUGGACGCCUUGCUGGGAGUACCUCACCCUCUCCCUAGGAUAUGUUUGGCAGAGGAGCACCACAGUAUUCGUCAGUAGGAAAUCCGAACGUAAAUUGACCACACUUAGCGGGGACACACUCGGAUCUCCACUACAAAGAGGAGCACUGCAGCAUUCAAAAGGGGCGAGUUAGACUUGAAGUGACGGCAUCGAGAAAGCAUCGAUCUCUUGCAGGGACGCUAUUUUUCCAAUAUUAUAAAAGAUUACGGCUACUUGGAGUAAAACUGACGUGGAGAAUUUCGUAUACUUCGCCGGGACAGUUGGCGUUUCAAAAUGGCCGCCACGACGGGACCUCCUCCCACCCCAUGAUGUAAAACAAUUUUGAGAGGAGCACCGCAGAAAUCAUAAAUGACGAGACUUGUUAUGUUCCAUAAAUCCAGAAUCCAUGCAUAUAUUACUGACACCUGCAGUUUUUCUGCGGUGACAUCCUGCGCUCCAAGGUGGACGCCUCGCUGGACACCCCGCCCCCUCUCGUAGGACCUGUUUUGCAGAGGAGCAGCGCAACAGUCACAAGUGGGGUGAGUGGGAGACUGAAAAUUACCCACGCUUAGUGGGGACACAUUGAUCUCCACCAUCGCGGGGGAUCUCUGCAACACUCGUAAAUGGGCGAGUUAGUUUUGACGGGACGCCACUAAGAAAGCAUCUAUUGCAGGGACGCUAUUUAUUCAUAAUUAUAAAAUUAUAAAGGGAAAUCUGCAAUUUCGUGUCUGAUUAAAAUAAAGUAACUGAAUCUGAUCAUCGGUUACGGCUACUUGCAGUGAAACUACAGUGCCAGGUGUGAAAAUAAAGAAAUUUCGCGAGGACAAUCUGCGUCCAAAAUGGACGCCACGGUGGGACGCCAUUUAUAAAAACGUAACGAUCGAACCAAGAUGCUCCUUUUUUUGUACAGGCUUCUAAAAGAUUACUGCUAACUAUACAACGAUUACCUAUUAGUGGGGAAAUCUGCGUUCCAAGAUAGACGUGUUGGAUCUGGGUCUCCUCCCACGUCCAGUAGGACCAAUUUUUAUUGGAGUACCAUAGUUUGUGCGCUCUGAUAAUAUGUACCCAUGACAUACAUUAAGAUAUAGUGUCUUUCUAUAUAUUCAAAAAUUGUAAAUGACCCGCCAAGAGUUGAUUGGCAACAUCACCAGCUGUGGGUGGUCUAGUUUUAACGUUUACCAGCACUGUAC
Long non-coding RNA from Drosophila ananassae, 1418 nucleotides. RefSeq lists it as uncharacterized. The transcript has 6 exons. Lineage: Eukaryota; Metazoa; Arthropoda; Insecta; Diptera; Drosophilidae. The record is from RefSeq and is a predicted model, not a curated record.